This 252-nucleotide ribosomal RNA is filed under the name uncultured bacterium. RNAcentral's name for it is "partial 16S ribosomal RNA". It matches the Rfam family "Bacterial small subunit ribosomal RNA", at positions 526 to 779 of the family's 1533-position model. The record is from RNAcentral.
CGUAGGUGGCGAGCGUUAUCCGGAAUGAUUGGGCGUAAAGGGUGCGUAGGUGGCAGAUCAAGUCUGGAGUAAAGGUAUGGGCUCAACCCGUACUUGCUCUGGAAACUGAUCAGCUAGAGAACAGAAGAGGACGGCGGAACUCCAUGUGUAGCGGUAAAAUGCGUAGAUAUAUGGAAGAACACCGGUGGCGAAGGCGGCCGUCUGGUCUGGAUUCUGACACUGAAGCACGAAAGCGUGGGAGCAAAUAGGAUU